GACGAACGCUGGCGGCGUGCUUAACACAUGCAAGUCGAACGGUAAGGCCUUUCGGGGUACACGAGUGGCGAACGGGUGAGUAACACGUGGGUGAUCUGCCCUGCACUUCGGGAUAAGCUUGGGAAACUGGGUCUAAUACCGGAUAGGACCACGGUCUGCAUGGAUUGUGGUGGAAAGCUUUUGCGGUGUGGGAUGGGCCCGCGGCCUAUCAGCUUGUUGGUGGGGUGAUGGCCUACCAAGGCGACGACGGGUAGCCGGCCUGAGAGGGUGUCCGGCCACACUGGGACUGAGAUACGGCCCAGACUCCUACGGGAGGCAGCAGUGGGGAAUAUUGCACAAUGGGCGCAAGCCUGAUGCAGCGACGCCGCGUGGGGGAUGACGGCCUCGGGUUGGUAAACCGUCUUUCUAGCAGGGACGAAGGGUGACGUGACGGUACCUGUAGAAGAAGCACCGGCCAACUACGUGCCAGCAGCCGCGGUAA
Molecule: ribosomal RNA, 481 nt
Filed under: uncultured bacterium
Lineage: Bacteria
Description: bacterial SSU rRNA
Rfam family: Bacterial small subunit ribosomal RNA
Source: RNAcentral